CUUACCUAGCAGGGCCUCUGCUUAGCAGUGCCCACGGCCUUCAGGGUUCCCCUGCUCUGGGCCAGCUCGCCCUGCCGGAUGCUCACAUCCACCCACACGCGAGUCCUCACCUCUCCCCAUUUCCCAGGAGAACCUUGCUUACCAUUCCUCCGUCCUGAUUCCCUCUCUGCUGAACCAAUGCUGCCUUGUACAGCGGUACAGGUUGUCCACUACAUGUGGGUUCUGGCUGCAGUGGGAAGUUGGGAGCUGAAAUCCAGCUCAUGUAACAUUUAACAAGCCAUGGACCCUGGUGUGGGGCUGUCUUUUUCUAAUUCAUACCUCUGAGGACAGAAGUAACUUUGGUAUACUGACUUCGCCCUUGCUCUAAGCAACUACUCAUUCUUCACACCCAGCUUUAACGUCACCUCCUCUGGAAAGCCUAUCUGGACUCUUCCAAACGGAGUUGGUUGCAGCCCCAUCCUAUGCUUCUGGGUGCUCGGGGUAGGCCGGCCCAGCUCUUGGAUGGCAGAGUCCCGACGGGGCCUGGCACAGAGGACAAACGAAUGCAGAGCCUACUGACGGGACCCUGAAGGUCGGCCGGGCCUUCGGGCCUACAAGUCAUCAGCCACCGGCAAGCAGACUUGCCCCGCCACGGUGUCAGCCCAGCUGCCUCAUGUGGGAUGCAGAGAAGUUAUCCUGUCCAACUUCAAGAUGACAAAGAGCUGUCAACUCACGCCCCUGCCAUCCACCCAAGGGCACAUGACAUCCUCAGGCCUUCCAGAACCUCAGGAAUGGGGAAGGACCUGAAAACCUGAGCUCUUGCAAUAAAUGCCUCUGUGUCCACCUCACCUGUGCCCGGGGCAUCCACAAGAGCAGGACCUGGCCAGGUGGGUGAGGGGGAGUAGUCACUGUGCCUUCACCCAGCAACCUGAGACGCAGGUACUACUCUUAUGUCCACUUGACAGAUGAGCUAGGGGCUCCUCUCACCCAGAUCACUGCAGAAACCUCUGACUGGUUUCCCCACUCCAUGUCCCCAAGCAGAAGGCCUUUCUAACCUGUGCUCAGAUCUUGUCCCUUCUGUGCUCAGUGCCCUCCACUGUCUGCUGGGUGCUCCUUGUAUCCUUCAAAGUUAGUGCCUGAGGUGUACAGUGGCCUACACAGGCCCUGCAGGAAUGGCUCCCAACCACCUUCUCCUCCUCCUCACUUCUCCAAUCCUCCAGCCCACCAGCGCAUUCUCAGUGCCCCAACCCAUUCCUCCCUGUCACCUCGUCCUCUUCAGUUCUUUGCUCAAAUGUCCAAUGUCUCAGAAAAAACUUUUUUUAACAGCAAAUGUUUAUUAUUUCACAGUUUUUGUGGGGCAGGAAUCUGGGCAUGACUUCCUCCAGGUCAGGGUCUCUCACAGGCUGCAAACUAAGAGUCAGCUGGGGCUGUGGUCUCAUCAGCAGGCUUGACCGGGGAAGGAUCUGUUUCUAAGCUCACUCAGUAGAUGUUGGCAAUACUCAGUUCCUUGCCAUGCGGGUCCCUCCAACAUGGCAACUCAUGACAUGGUAACUUGUUUCAUCAAUGCGAGGAAAGGAGAGUGAGCAGUGGGUCCCACACUUGUGUGUGAACCAGGAUCACUUGGAGGAGCUGUUGAAACACAGCCUGCUGGGCUUCACACUCAGAGGUCCUGAUUUUCAGCAGUCUUGGUGGGGCGCAAGAACACACAUUUCUAACAGGUUCCCAGCCGAGACGAGGACCACACUUGAAGCGCUGCUGAAUUACAGGGACCGCCUCCCUGGGUUUCUGUUUCUUCAUUGUAUUUUAUCUGUUGAUGGGACACUCUUUAGAAUUCCCAGGUGAGACCACUGAUUUCAACCCUGGCCACACAUAGAAAUUAUUUGGAGAACUUUAAAAAAUAAUAUGUUUUGAGGCCCCAUUCAGAAUCUAUUGAAAACGGGGUGGGGAUUUCUGGAAGUGUGCUUUUAUUUUUUUUGUUACUAUUUUGUAUGUUUAAGUGCAUACAAUAAAAUGCACAAAUCUUAGCUUGAUGAAUUUUGACAUGUAUACACUCAUCUACCCAUCACCUAGCUCGAGAUACCAAACAUUCUAAUUUGCAAAAAUAUUUUUGUUCAGAUGUCUCAGUGAGGCCCAGCCUGACCACCCCAUUUAAAUCUGAAACCACUUACUCUCCAGCCACAUUCCCCAAAUCCUUUACUUUGCUCUAUAUCCCACUGUGACGCUGGAGGCCUUCAACCAGCCUAUAUACUUCCCUUAAUUUAUUACAUUUAUUCUCCUCCACUCCCCCAUCCUGGCUAGAAUCAAAGCUCCAUGAGAGCAGGGAUUUGGAUUUCUUUUCUAGUUUAUUGAGAAAUAAUUGGCAUACACAUCACUGUAAAAAUUUGAGGCCUACAGCAUGGUGGCUUGGUUUAUAUAUGUUGAAAUGAUUACAUCAGUAGGUUCAGCUAACAUCCAGCCUUUUGUGCAGAUAAAAUAGAAAAAGAAGAAGAAAAAACUUCCUCCUGUGAUGAGAAGAACUCUUAGGGUGCACUCUCCUAACACCUUUCCUGCGUAUCUUACAGAAGUGGAGCUGAGGUGGUCUUGUUGUACGUCAUGCCCCUGGUACAUACUCGUAACUGGAAGUUUGCGUCUUUUUAUCACUUCCCUCCGUUUCCCCUCACUAUGCACUGUGUCUGGUAUUGGGUUGUUGUGUUUUUCAAACAGACGUCUCCCAGCACCUAGAAAGGGCCUGCCACAUGCGGGUGCUCGGUCAGUAUCUCAUGAGUAAAAGGGUCAGAGGCAGAGGUCUGCUGCCUUCUAGCUGCUCAGUCAGCCACAAAGCAGCAGAGCCUCCUUAGCUGUGUUCUUAACGGCCAGGCUCCUCCACCCCAGCCCAAGGCGGAGCCGGCCCCACCCUCUCCUUGGAGAUCCCACGGAUGCCAGCUUCCAGGCCCAGACGGAGAGGGCAUCUCGCAGGCACUGCUCCCCUCAGAUGUCUUGAGGGAGAGCUGAGGCCCGAGUGGAAGACACUAAGUGGCGUGCCAGGAGAGGAGCCCAGGUCUUCUGUACCCACAUACCCACCUUCCUC
Manis pentadactyla (Chinese pangolin) is the source of this 3046-nucleotide long non-coding RNA. RefSeq lists it as uncharacterized. The record is from RefSeq and is a predicted model, not a curated record. NCBI's taxonomy places the organism in Eukaryota, Metazoa, Chordata, Mammalia, Pholidota, Manidae. The transcript is spliced from 3 exons.